UGGGAUAUAGCCAAGUGGUAAGGCAACGGGUUUUGGCCCUGUCAUUCGGAGGUUCGAAUCCUUCUAUCCCAG
Molecule: transfer RNA, 72 nt
Filed under: Nitella hyalina
Lineage: Eukaryota; Viridiplantae; Streptophyta; Charophyceae; Charales; Characeae
Description: tRNA-Gln
Rfam family: tRNA
About the family: Transfer RNA (tRNA) molecules are approximately 80 nucleotides in length. Their secondary structure includes four short double-helical elements and three loops (D, anti-codon, and T loops).
Source: RNAcentral